GCUCUGGUGGCCUAGUGGUUAGAGCAUCUGCAUCAGAUGCGGGAGGUCAUGGGUUCCAUCCCCAGUCAAGUCA
Non-coding RNA from Potamilus streckersoni, 73 nucleotides. The record is from the annotation of a GenBank genome assembly. Lineage: Eukaryota; Metazoa; Mollusca; Bivalvia; Unionida; Unionidae.